Molecule: ribosomal RNA, 468 nt
Filed under: uncultured bacterium
Lineage: Bacteria
Description: partial 16S ribosomal RNA
Rfam family: Bacterial small subunit ribosomal RNA
Source: RNAcentral
GACGAACGCUGGCGGCGUGCUUAACACAUGCAAGUCGAACGGAAAGGCCCUGCUUUUGUGGGGUGCUCGAGUGGCGAGCGGGUGAGUAACACGUGAGUAACCUGCCCUUGACUUUGGGAUAACUUCAGGAAACUGGGGCUAAUACCGGAUAGGAGCUCCUGCUGCAUGGUGGGGGUUGGAAAGUUUCGGCGGUUGGGGAUGGACUCGCGGCUUAUCAGCUUGUUGGUGGGGUAGUGGCUGACCAAGGCUUUGACGGGUAGCCGGCCUGAGAGGGUGACCGGCCACAUUGGGACUGAGAGACGGACCAGACGCCUACGGGAGGCAGCAGUGGGGAAUAUUGCACAAUGGGCGGAAGCCUGAUGCAGCAACGCCGCGUGCGGGAUGACGGCCUUCGGGUUGUAAACCGCUUUCGCCUGUGACGAAGCGUGAGUGACGGUAAUGGGUAAAGAAGCACCGGCUAACUACGUG